ACUUUAUUAAUUCACGUGCCUAGACUCCAAUUGAAUGAUUGAUUAGCAAUCGAGUCUCGGUACAGCUGCAUGAUUUCUAAAUAUUACAAUAGCAGCGGUGGUGUCAUUGAGUUACAAGGAACACAGUGACUUUUAGUGAGGCUGAGCCUGUUCUCGAAGCUGUGAAACCCUGGAGUUCGAAUGGAGGCUCUGAAAACCAUAGUGUACACCAGGAACUUGAUUUUGACAGGGUAAUAUUUCACAAGCCUCUUGUCAGCCUUUUUUUUAAAGCAUGUCAUAUAUAGAUACAGAACAUGAAAUGGAAUUUAAAGUAGAGUUUACAAAACAAGCAUACUGUAUUGAGCAAUGCAUUUCUAAUCUAGGUCUUCCUGGAGUCUUAUGGUCUCUGAUACAAGACCUUACACAUCAUUGUGCUUCGCAAGCAUUCUAAUCCUGCAAGGCUGUUUUUAGUUUUUUCCCAUUCUAGAUCAUAGCCUCUUUCCAGUGGGCACGCUACCUCUGCCUUGCUCCUCUGCCCACUCCAGCACAACUGAAGGAAGCCAGAGAUAGGAUAAGGAAAGAAGGCUUGAUACAGCACACUCUGAGAGAGUUUGUGCUUUACAUCAUCAUGUUGCUCCUGCUCAUGUUUGUAACCUAUGGAAAAUCCUCCAAUGACCAAUACCUUCUAAAUCAGGCCAUCAGGACUGAGUUCACCAAGAACCCGAAGAAACUGCUUUCUGAAGUGAAAACAGCCGAGGAUUGGUGGAGCUGGAGCUUAACAGCAUUAUUGGAGGGUCUGUAUUGGAACACUUGGUAUAACAAUGCUUCUGCAAGCGACAAGGCUGGUCCCCUUAAAGGAACAUGUAGUCUGAUUGGUGAACCGGAGCUUCAGAAAAUAACACUGGCUGCACGCUCAUUUUCCUGACUUUGAUUCUUCUUCACCUUUACUUCCAAGUCUGUGCAAUGCCUCAGAAUGGGAUUGCUGGUUUACUGGCAGGAACCAUGGAAUUAGCUUAAGAACUUUUACUUGGAUGAAUUUGAGAAUCUCAUGGAUAAGCUUCUGUUCCGAAUGGUUUUUCAAAUAGCUUGCACCGUUCUCUACCAGCCAAACAGAGAAACUACCUGGGUGAUGAAAGCCCUCUGAUAUCCCAGUCUGAUUAUUAUUCCAGUCCAGGCUCAGAGAUCACAGCUUAAAACUGAAACGUUUCGCCAUCUGCAUCUGAAAAACCAUGGCAGCCCGUCAGCGACAUCCACAGACAAUUCUGAGAACUGCAAGUCCAGCCAUACCCACUCCCAAGAUAGAGAAGAUUAUCUGUCAGACUUUACAAAGCCCAGUGUUACUCUCCCUGGAAGUACAAAUCCAUCAAGCGAAUCCUGCACUUCAAUGUCAGAUUCCUGUAGUUUGCCAGAGCAAAGAGGCAGUUGCCAGACAAGUUGUGCAGUAAACCCAGAUAACCUUGCCAAACUCGGAGAUGAUUUACCCAACGUGCUGUGUGGGACCAAGUGUCCCGAAAAGCUGGCAGCACAGUCUAUCGAAAGCAGGACAAGCCACCAGAAGUGGUACACGUCUGUCCCCCAGCAAACCUCUUAAACGAUCUCACACCACCAUCAUCAAGUCCUUAGAGAGCCCCAUUGAGGUCACAGACAGUGGAGCUGGCAAUAAUGAUGAGGAUGGUUAUGCUAGUGAAGAGAAAACCUCUGUAUCUGCUAAAGAGACAAUGGAUCAGCCAACCAAACUGUCAAGCCCUGAGCGAUCAUCACAGCACAGCAACACCAAAGGUCAGAGGUCAGGGCCAAAAGUGCAGGAACGCGCACAAGAUUCAGAUCUGCAGAAUGAGCUCGCUGUUCUAUCAGAGUCACUAAGAUAGUGUUGGUGACUUUAUGUUUCUAUGUUCUUCCCCUAACCUGGCAGUGGACAGGUUACCAGAUAUCUAUGUCUUUUUGCAUAAUCUGUGCAUUACAGUAACCAAAGGGAGAGAGCAGUAGAGCUCAUUUAUUCUACCCACAUAAGUCAGCAGCUAUCUGUACAAAUGACCUUUUUAUUUAGAAUGGAUUGAAACUUGAUUUGGGCGUAAUCACAAUGUAAGUUAUUUACAAAAUAUUGUCCAAACAAACAUUUUGGUAUUCUCCUGCUGAACACAAUGAAUAACGAGAAUGUUAAAAAAGAGGGUGGUACAAGCAGAUAUUCUGGAACAAGUGCUUAAUCCAGGGGUGGCUGAACCCAGAUCUGGAGGCAAUCUGUCACCAUCUUGACCUCCCUAGCUAUUUUAAUUUGCAGCAUGUCAUUCACUGGCUUACACUCAUAUGAAUGAUAUGUAUUGUAUAUUAAAUAACCACCAGGCUCAAGAGUUUUAAAAGCCGCUCAUUUAUAAAUGUCAUUUAAGCUAAGUGCGCAUUUGGACAAGCUUUCCGGGACAAUAAGAGAAAAAGGGCUUUUAUAUAUUGUUAAUGUUUUCUAACAAUUAACAUUAGAAGUUAUGCAACACAACAA
Polyodon spathula (Mississippi paddlefish) is the source of this 2470-nucleotide long non-coding RNA. RefSeq lists it as uncharacterized. NCBI's taxonomy places the organism in Eukaryota, Metazoa, Chordata, Actinopteri, Acipenseriformes, Polyodontidae. The record is from RefSeq and is a predicted model, not a curated record. The transcript has 7 exons.